UCGUAGCAACUCCCUCGCUGCCAGGAGAUUUGUUUUCAAAGUGUCUGACAAGCCACGUCCGAUUCAUCCUCAAAACUGACUUGUCAGGGGAAUAAACAAGUGUCAGAACUUCCCACGAAAUCUAGUGAUGAAAAGGCCUUUAACGAUGAACAAAGUAAAUUCAGUUCUCACGCCAAGCAACAGAAAGAAAGCGAAGUGAAAAGCCACAGAAGACUAGCACAGCAACAAGUCGACCAUCAUUUCUGCCAUUGAAGGAGAAUGUUACCUGAGACCACCCUUGGUCACAACUCUAAGAUAUCCCUCGGUCUCCCUGAGGUGCGCUGUGCAGAGAUUGGACAUCACAAGCUUCUCCCACAGCAGGUCUAAAGGAUGAAGGUACAAGCAGCUGAGUAUACAACCCAUGGACCAGUGCCGAGUGAAGUCACUACCUUGGGGGCCCAGGACUGUCAUCACUGUCCUUGCAAGUCCACGCUUCUGGACUCUUGUGUGGACACUGUGCACCUGCAGCAUCUGGCUGACGGCUCAGUAGACUACAACAGACUGGAUUCAAAUCCAGCUUGGCUGUGGGGCUGGACUUCUCUGAAACUCAGUGUCCUUGACUGUGAAAUGGGAGAGGAUAUAACCACUUCAAUGCAGCAGAUAGCAAAUUUUGAUGUGUACACAAAUCACCUGGAGAUCUUGUUAUGAUGCGGAUUCAGACUCAGUAAGUCUGGGACGAGGCCUGACGUCCUGUAUUUCUAAGAAGCUACCAGGUGAUACCCAUGCUGCUGUCUGGGAACCAAACUCCAAGCUGCAACACUGUAGGGCAUUCCAUGAGAUAACAAGAGAAAUCAAGGGAGAUCAUUAUUUAUGUUAAUAAGCAUUACAAGGAAAUUUAUUAAUAAUAGUUAUAGGUAGGAGAAUUCUGGUUAAAACACAUGAAGUUACCACCAACCAGGUUUAAAUUAGACUGUUUCUGCCCCUUCAUCCUUUUAUGGCAAGUUUUGUGAUUACAUGUGAAACCUCCUUCAAGACCCUCCUCAUAAGCCCUCAUGUAACUACAGAAGUCAAGGGCACAGUGAGAAGAUAUUUUAUUACCCAUGUAUUUAUGUAUGGGUUUUUGGGGUUUUAAAACUGGCAAUUAAAACCUUGUAAAUUUGUAUUAUCAACAAAAUAAAUGUAGACGGGUUAGUUACUCAUUGCUAAUAAAUUUGAUCAUUCAUUUAUAAAACGAA
Leopardus geoffroyi (Geoffroy's cat) is the source of this 1214-nucleotide long non-coding RNA. RefSeq lists it as uncharacterized. Lineage: Eukaryota; Metazoa; Chordata; Mammalia; Carnivora; Felidae. The record is from RefSeq and is a predicted model, not a curated record. The transcript is spliced from 2 exons.